GGGGGGUUUUGAAAAGUGUUUUUGUAGUGAAUGCGGAAAAUUUAAAAUUCACGCUGGAAUUGGACAGCUCUGACCUUUGCUCAAUGUUUUAUCCAUAACUUUUUCUACAGAGCUCUAAAUGAGAUGAGGUUUUUUUUCCUGGAAAAUAGACUCAAAUAUCUUUCAUUUGACCUAUAAAACGUAGCAUUUGGACCUCUGGUGUGGUUGCAAUUAGUUUUUUAAAAUCGAGUCCAGAGAGUGAAAAUGCUAAGCCAAAUACUAGACUAAACAAAUAU
This 275-nucleotide long non-coding RNA is filed under the name Vigna radiata. RNAcentral describes it as "long non-coding RNA (VRAD_LNC017170)". The record is from RNAcentral. Lineage: Eukaryota; Viridiplantae; Streptophyta; Magnoliopsida; Fabales; Fabaceae.